RNAcentral lists this long non-coding RNA (219 nucleotides) under Brassica napus (rape). RNAcentral describes it as "long non-coding RNA (BNAP_LNC010953)". Lineage: Eukaryota; Viridiplantae; Streptophyta; Magnoliopsida; Brassicales; Brassicaceae. The record is from RNAcentral.
AGGGGUUAUUGGAUUAAUCUGCAUCGUUUUAGAGUACAUUGGUUGUCAUGGGAUCCAAAUAUUUUCUGACACUUAUGAUUUUUAGAUUAUGAAUAAUAUAAUGCAGUAUUUUAUCACAUAUACAACAGUUGGGGUCAAAACCGGUCACGACGGAAUCAACGCAUGAAAGUAUCCGGAGAAUACUUCUCGAAAAAGUAACUUUCGUAUAAUUUUCAACAA